UACGAAGGUGGCAAGCGUUAUUCGGAUUUACUGGGCGUACAGGGAGCGUAGGCGGUUCGGUAAGCCCUUUGUGAAAUCUCCAGGCUUAACCUGGAACAGUCGGAGGGGACUGCCGGGCUAGAGGACGGGAGAGGAGCGCGGAAUUCCCGGUGUAGCGGUGAAAUGCGUAGAGAUCGGGAGGAAGGCCGGUGGCGAAGGCGGCGCUCUGGACAUUUCCUGACGCUGAGGCACGAAAGCCAGGGGAGCAAACGGG
This 253-nucleotide ribosomal RNA is filed under the name uncultured prokaryote. Its description in RNAcentral is "partial 16S ribosomal RNA". It matches the Rfam family "Bacterial small subunit ribosomal RNA", at positions 524 to 776 of the family's 1533-position model. The record is from RNAcentral.